GGAUUGAAGGCUGAAAUUCGCCUUCCAUGAAGCUGGAAUUGCUAGUAAUGGCAGGUCAGCAUACUGCCGUGAAUACGUUCCCGGGCCCUUGUACACACCGCCCGUCACACCAUGAGAGUUGGGAAUACCCGAAGCCUGUGAGCUAACUUUUAGAGGCAGCAGUCGAAGGUAGAAUCAAUGAUUGGGGUGAAGUCGUAACAAGGUAGC
This 207-nucleotide ribosomal RNA is filed under the name uncultured bacterium. RNAcentral's name for it is "partial 16S ribosomal RNA". It matches the Rfam family "Bacterial small subunit ribosomal RNA", at positions 1295 to 1500 of the family's 1533-position model. The record is from RNAcentral.